UCCGUUAUGGUCUAGGUAAGCUCAAUCACCACUUCCAUUUCAACAACAAUCACUAACAAGCAUCAAGUGGCUAGGAUACAUCGCUCUCAUUAGCAAGUGCCGAUGUGGCCGGGGUUCGAUUCCCCGUGACGGAA
This is a non-coding RNA of Neodidymelliopsis sp. IMI 364377, 134 nucleotides long. The record is from the annotation of a GenBank genome assembly. NCBI's taxonomy places the organism in Eukaryota, Fungi, Ascomycota, Dothideomycetes, Pleosporales, Didymellaceae.